This 484-nucleotide ribosomal RNA is filed under the name uncultured bacterium. RNAcentral's name for it is "partial 16S ribosomal RNA". It matches the Rfam family "Bacterial small subunit ribosomal RNA", at positions 28 to 507 of the family's 1533-position model. The record is from RNAcentral.
AUUGAGCGCUGGCGGCAUGCUUUACACAUGCAAGUCGAACGGCAGCGCGGGCUUCGGCCUGGCGGCGAGUGGCGAACGGGUGAGUAAUGCAUCGGAACGUGCCCAGUAGUGGGGGAUAGCCCGGCGAAAGCCGGAUUAAUACCGCAUACGACCUGAGGGUGAAAGCGGGGGACCGAAAGGCCUCGCGCUAUUGGAGCGGCCGAUGUCGGAUUAGCUAGUUGGUGGGGUAAAGGCUUACCAAGGCGACGAUCCGUAGCUGGUCUGAGAGGACGACCAGCCACACUGGGACUGAGACACGGCCCAGACUCCUACGGGAGGCAGCAGUGGGGAAUUUUGGACAAUGGGGGCAACCCUGAUCCAGCCAUGCCGCGUGCGAGAAGAAGGCCUUCGGGUUGUAAACCGCUUUUGUUCGGGAAGAAAUCCUCUGGGCUAAUACCCCGGGGGGAUGACGGUACCGGAAGAAUAAGCACCGGCUAACUACGUG